AAAUUGAAGAGUUUGAUCAUGGCUCAGAUUGAAUGCUGGCGGCAGGCCUAACACAUGCAAGUCGAACGGUAACAGGAAACAGCUUGCUGUUU
This 92-nucleotide ribosomal RNA is filed under the name Escherichia coli. RNAcentral describes it as "partial 16S ribosomal RNA". It matches the Rfam family "Bacterial small subunit ribosomal RNA", at positions 1 to 88 of the family's 1533-position model. The record is from RNAcentral. Lineage: Bacteria; Pseudomonadati; Pseudomonadota; Gammaproteobacteria; Enterobacterales; Enterobacteriaceae. RNAcentral also lists the same sequence under 3 other names.